RNAcentral lists this long non-coding RNA (311 nucleotides) under Gossypium raimondii (Peruvian cotton). RNAcentral's name for it is "long non-coding RNA (GRAI_LNC006155)". The record is from RNAcentral. Lineage: Eukaryota; Viridiplantae; Streptophyta; Magnoliopsida; Malvales; Malvaceae.
AAUUAUGUGAGCAGAGAUGGAAUUUCCAUGGAAGCACCUAGCUGUGUGAGCAAAGCGGAAGUGCCUACAUGUCAGGAUGCUAUUAGAUUGAAGGAUGACCGAGUGACCUCUAAAGAUGAUAAUUGUUGUUUGACAGCAAGAAGAGACGAGGCUGACCAAGUGACGUCUAAAGAUGAUAAUUGUUGUUUGACAGCAAGAAGAGACAAGGCUGACGAGUCUGAAUAUGGAAGUUCUAAUAUUGUUUAUAGCCAAGUUUUAAUAGUUAGAGAUGUAAAUAUAACUUCCAAAAAUAGCUUUAAAGAAGACAACGG